Canis lupus familiaris (dog) is the source of this 1701-nucleotide long non-coding RNA. RefSeq lists it as uncharacterized. The transcript is spliced from 4 exons. The record is from RefSeq and is a predicted model, not a curated record. Lineage: Eukaryota; Metazoa; Chordata; Mammalia; Carnivora; Canidae.
GGGGCAUCUAAUCCUGGGCUGAAGGUUGGCUUGACCUAUUAGUUAUAGACUUCAGUUGUCCACCUUGAGCCUCUGAUAUACCCAGAAUUCCCAAAUUCAAGCUUUCCUGGGGUUCUUGAAAUCAGGUCAGACUAUCUCCCUUUGCUGAUACUCAUCCAUUCCUGCAUAUUCUUGACCACAAAUUCUUCCACUUGGAUUGUCCACAACGCCUAUAUCUGCUUUCCAUUUUUCAGAAAUGUAUUGACAUCUUAAAUCUACUCAUAGUUGUCUCCUUUCUCUUCUUUGUGGUAAGUUUAUACCUUUAUUAAACCUUUAAGUUUAAUAAUACCUUAUUAUUAUUCCCCUUGCAAUAAAUUAGUGGAGGCUCAGGAAGGAGAGGAGAAGAUGUAUGUCUAAUACAUCACUUAGAACCGUAAGUUAACUGUUUGUUUUAAGUGUAACUUGAUUAUUGAUUCUAGGUUGGGCAUCUUGUGUAUUCAGCAAGUUGGUAUCACUGAAUUUCAAUUUCUCCGUCUGUAUGACGGGUUAGCAUAAAACAGGGCCUGUCUACUUAGAUGGGAUCAAAGGAAAUUAUCACAUGCAUGCAUAAGGGCUUUAUGAAGCCCCAAAACUACACACAGCUAGGGUUUAUUUUAUUGCCUCAGUCUUCUCCCAUGUGUGAUAUGGUUAUUUCAUCUUAUAACCUGCCUCAUAAAGGAGGUUUCUUAAAAACUAUGGACUCUUUCUCUUCUAAACCUGUUUUAUGCUUAGCAAAACAUCAUAGAAUUUUUUAAUCAAGCCCAUUUCUUCAAAAAGGGGUUACUUUUUGGAUCACCUCUAUGGUGCUAUUUUCUUUUUAUUAUUUCAAAAUGUCACAGGCCUUAGCAAAAUUGUCUAAUAGGCAAGACCACGCUACACUGCUUUUUUUUUUAUUAUUAUUAUUUCGUUAAGAAAACCAAUUAGCUGGUAAAAGGAGAAUAAAAGUACCUGUGAAAUCUUUAAUCAAUGUGCUAAUUGAAAAAGUAGUUCAUUUUCCUUGUUGUUGUCAGAUCAUUAGGAUCAUGUUGUAAUUCAUCAGCCUCCAAAGAAGAGGGAGGAAAUGUGAAAUCGCUCAAGCACCUUGGCUCCUGGCUGACUGUGUGUCUGCCAGUUAGCUCCGUGUGUGUGAUCUCGGCCAGGCUCCCUGUGUGUCUGCAGUCAGCUCUCAGGGUGACUACAGGUGGAAGACAACACUUUAUGUCUCGGCAAGGACCGUGGUGUAGAUGAGACCAUUUCGGUGUUCAGACUUAACGAGCCAUAUCGCCUGUAGGUGCCAUGUGCGUGACCGAUGGCGAAGGCGAGGAGAACUCCUUGGGCUGGAACCGAACCAGAGGGAGGGAUCACGGAACCGGGAAGCUUCCGAGAGGAGAGUGCAUUUGGCCAGUCUGACAGUCGGUGCAGAUCGAAGUCAGGCAUUGGGAUUCCAGCGUCAACCCUCUUUGGUUUUCCUUGGAUUGCUGCCGCUCACCAGCUCCGUGACCUCAGGCCAAUACUGACUGUCUCUUGCCUCAGUUUCCCCUUUUGUAAUCCAGAGGAUUGCCUCACGGAGUUGUUUGAGGGUUAAAUGAGUGCAUACGUGAAAAAACCUCAGAAGAGUCUGUCCCACUUAUUUUUUUUUUUUUAAGUGGGAAAUAUCAGAAAGGGAGACAGAACAUGGAAGACUCCUAACUCUGGGAAGCGAAC